GAGACACCCUUUUGGAGCAGGACUUGCUUCAGAGGGGCUUUGGCGCUCACUGAAUCUGCCCCUUGAGUGUGUUGCU
RNAcentral lists this microRNA precursor (76 nucleotides) under Myotis lucifugus (little brown bat). RNAcentral describes it as "mir-9229 microRNA precursor family". It matches the Rfam family "mir-9229 microRNA precursor family". The record is from Rfam by way of RNAcentral. Lineage: Eukaryota; Metazoa; Chordata; Mammalia; Chiroptera; Vespertilionidae.